This 490-nucleotide ribosomal RNA is filed under the name uncultured bacterium. RNAcentral describes it as "partial 16S ribosomal RNA". It matches the Rfam family "Bacterial small subunit ribosomal RNA", at positions 29 to 507 of the family's 1533-position model. The record is from RNAcentral.
AGUGAACGCUGGCGGCAGGCCUAACACAUGCAAGUCGAACGGCAGCACAAGAGAGCUUGCUCUCUGGGUGGCGAGUGGCGGACGGGUGAGGAAUGCAUCGGAAUCUGCCCAUUUGUGGGGGAUAACCUCGGGAAACCGGGACUAAUACCGCAUACGACCUACGGGUGAAAGCAGGGGAUCUUCGGACCUUGCGCAGAUGGAUGAGCCGAUGCCGGAUUAGCUAGUUGGAGGGGUAAAGGCCCACCAAGGCGACGAUCCGUAGCUGGUCUGAGAGGAUGAUCAGCCACACUGGGACUGAGACACGGCCCAGACUCCUACGGGAGGCAGCAGUGGGGAGUAUUGGACAAUGGGCGCAAGCCUGAUCCAGCCAUGCCGCGUGUGUGAAGAAGGCCUUCGGGUUGUAAAGCACUUUUGUUGGGAAAGAAAAGCAGCCGGUUAAUACCCGGUUGUCAUGACGGUACCCAAAGAAUAAGCACCGGCUAACUUCGUG